AAAUUCUGUAUAUAAAUAGAGCAUCUCGCCUAGCUUGUACAUUGAAAUCUUUGAAGGAAUCUCGAGUGACAGCCUUCAGGAGAGCAUGUUGACAAAACGUGCAGCACUUCUUUUGAUUUUGUCCAUGGUUGUCUCCAUGGUCAUGGCGAAACCAAGAAAACAACUUCAGGAGAGAGUCCAAGAGCGGGCAGAUGAGGACUACGACACAUAUUCCGAUGAAACGACCACCGAGGGAGAUGGCAAAACGGGAGAAGGCCCAAUACCUAAAGCGCGGCCUCCUGGUUCCAAUGUUGGGGAUGAUUUUGAACCCCCUGUAAUAGAAGACAGUUACUGCGUUGGAACGCUUCACUGUCUUCAAAAUCACCGCUUGCCUGCUCCAGCUUCCCAAUAGCGGCCGCUACCACGUGUCAGCUACAACCCUACGUCAUGAGCCACGUCACCGCCGUGCUGACUUAAAGACGACGGCAAGCCUUCGACGAGCCCAUUUGCUCAGUGGUGGUGGCAACGGAUGGUACGACUCUACAGUGAUCGCUAUCCUCUGCUUUUGCAGGUUGGUUAAAUUUCUGACUACUUUCACGUACUAUAUUGCUUCUGCCACCACCACUGCUGCGUAUACUUCCUUUACAUUUUGGCGCUGAAGUGCUUUGUAGUUUCUGUUCUUUGAACCGAAAUGUCGGAGUUGUUUGGUCUGUAAUCAGCUGCUCCCAGAUAAUUGUGUGAAUCCAACGUGUUCUGAAUGUAACUACAGUUACCAUUUGGGAACAUGCUCGGGCAUAAGAAAAACUGCCUUCAAAGCUAAAGAUGAUACGUCAGAAAGAGCAUGGAAAUGCCAAACAUGUCUUGUCUUAGCUGCCCGUGGCACUCAAUGCGCAAGUGGUAACUUGCGGGAUAAAAAAGCAGUCGAGAAGGUGUUCAUUGAAAUUAAUCGAAAGUUGACUCAGUUACCUUUAAUUCAGAGUAGGGUGGAUGCUCUUUUUUCAAUUAAGGAAACGGUCGAAAAAAUGGAACACUCCAUUGAGCAUCUGUCUGUUCAGUACGACAUGGUACUUGCAGAAUUAAAAAAAAACAAUCUGCAGAAAUCCUAAGCCUUGGGAAAAGAAUCGAUGUGGUGGAAUCCUCUCACAACAAUCAGGAAGUGUCUGAAUUAAAAAAAAAAACAGGUCGCCGCCCUCGAACAGUACAGUAGAAGACAGAAUCUAGAAAUUCAUGGACUGCCAGAUGUUGAAAACGAGAAUCUGCUCGCUAGGGUGAAUGAACUGGCAAAUAAACUUUACCUUCCUCAGUUUACCCGUACCGACUUUGAGGCCUUACACAGACUGCCUGCCAAGCCUGGCAAAGCCUCGGUAAUAUUAGUUCGUUUCACAUCACGUGUCAUGCUCGAUGAAUGGAUGGCAAAGAAAAAACGAGCUUACAGCUGCUCAAUUGGCGAUACAUUUCAGAAACAAUUUGACACCGCAGAAUAAGAAACUUCUGUGGAUGAUGAAGGUAAAGGCGCGGGAAAUGCACCACGAGUUCGCAUGGCAAAAGGAUGGAAAGCUUUUCAUGGGUAGGGCAUCUGGCCAGUGGGCAGUGCGCAUCAAUUGCGAAGCUGAUCUUGAUAAGAUUCGUUGAGCGGCCACAAGAUUGCAUCGCUUAUAAUUUUCCUUGUUAUGAUUUCUACUUUCGAUGACUGACUUCACUAAAGUUAUGCAUCACGAUGUUUCUUCUUUUAAAUCCCUAGUACGUACCCUGCGCAAAAAAAGCGAUAACAUGUCAAUUUUCCACGCAAAUAUAAGAAGCCUGAGGAACAAGCAACUUGAAACAGAGACAUUUUUUGAAUCCCUAGAUUGCAAUUUUAAUUCGUAGCAUUUACGGAAACUUGGCUUCAGAAUGUUCAAGAUGUUGUACACUUUUCCGGCUAUAGGUCUGAAGGUGUUUAUAGAUCGGGUCGUAGAGGUGGAGGAACUUCUUUGUAUAUUAAACAUGACAUUGCCUAUGAUGUUUUGCUGCAGUUUUCUGGUAUUACUGCGCAUUAUGAAUCAAUCGUUGUUAAGAGUGCUGGAACAGUCAUUGCUUCAAUUUAUCGCCCGCCUUCUGGUGAAGCUACAGCACUCAUUGAAUAUAUUACGUCUGUUUUUGAAUAUGUGUCCUCUGCAAUGCGUCCCAUUGUCCUGGUUGGCGAUUUUAACAUUGACUUACUAACAGACACUUCACAGCCUGGAGAAUUUUUAGACAUAAUUGAGUCAUUCUCUUGUACAAAUGUUAUACGCUCGCCGACAAGAAUAACAGGAUUAAGUCAAGCUCUGAUUGAUCUGUGAGUAAUUAUUCAUGCUGAAAGUGAUGUUAUACCUGGCAUUUUUUCAGUCGAUUUGAGUGAUCACUUACCUGUAUUUUGUAUCUUUCCUGUUCCAAAAAACAAAAUACAUCCCGCUCGCAUUCCCCCAGUACCUUAUCGUAGUUUUAAUCAAAUGCGUCUCUCUGCUUUUCACUCGAUGAUCGAGUGUGUUGACUGGUCGGAUGUUUAUGAGGAAGAAAACGCAAGCAUUUCAUACGACGAGUUACUUCAAAGAAUCAAAGCCCGUGAUAUUAUGUACCGUCAAUUUAUUAAUCUAAAAGAUAUCUCUCUUCUAACUGAACAUAAGAAAAUUCGAAACAAGUUAAACUCUGAUCUCAAGAACGCUCGAUGUGAAUAUUAGAAGAAUAGGUUUAUUGCUGUUUCUCAUGACGCCCAAAAAAUUUAGAACACAUUACGAUUGCUUAUUGGUCAACAACGGAACAGCAUCCCUGGUACACUAAUUACUGAUGGUGUCGAAUACAGUAAAGAGAUUUUGUCAGAUAAAUUCAAUUCCCACUUUUUAUCUUCAGGCGCAUAUUCAUCUUCCAGCACUCAGCUAGAUGCACAGAAAUAUAUAUCCCCUUGCAUUACGAAUUCUAUAUUUAAGUCUCCUUGCAGUGAAUGAGAGAUAAAUUUAUUUCUUAAGAAGCUAAAUAAAAAUACUGCUGCCGGUAAUGACGACAUUAAAGCUACUCCAAUUAUUUUCGUUGCUAACCUUUUAUGAGCACCUUUGCAGCAUAUUUCCAACAGAGCAUUAUCAACAGGCAUUUUUCCAGUUAAUAUGAAUAUAGCUAGGGUUGCGGUCUUGCACAAAGGUGGUCCUUUCCAUAAUCUUAACAAUUAUCGACCGAUUUCGGUGUUACCCUUAUUCUCAAAGGUUUCAGUGCACAUAAUAAAAACAAGACUAACCAAGUUUCUUGAUGAACACGAAUUGCUUAUCAAGGAACAAUUCGGCUUUCGCGAGAAAAAAUCUACUGGAACAGCUUUACUUGGUAUCAAAGAACAAUUAGCUAAGAAAAUUGAUAGCAAGGUGUUCACCCUAGGAAUUUUUUUAGACUUCCUAAAAGCGUUUGACUCGGUCAAGCAUAUUAUACUGUUUGAAAAAUUACCACAUUACGGCAUUCGAGGUGUAGCUCUACAAUUAGUGCGCAGUUACUUAACAGACAGGCUACAGUAUAAGUUUCUUCACGGGUAUAAAUCUCAGCUACAGCCUUUGAAAUUCGGUGUACCACAAGGUUCUAUACUCGGUCCACUAUAUUUUACUAUCUACAUAAUUGAUAUCGUGCCGGUACCCCAAUCUUCCUCUAUAGUUCUGUAUGCGGAUGAUACCAGCUUGUUUUUCUCUGGCAGCCGUUGAAGAGAUUUAGAAAUCCCGGCAAACGAGCGGUUGAUAUCGCUUUCAUACCAUCCUGAGUGUAACCAGCUAGAAUUAAACGUUAGUAAAACUAAAUAUAUUUUAUUCAAAGGGAGAAAUAAACGCGAAGAUUACACCAUUUCUGUUAGAUUUAAAAACAAUGACAUCGAGCGUGUCUUGUUGUUUAAAUUCUUAGGUGUACUUUUUCAUGAAAAUCGCAGUUGGACACCGCAAAUCAACAAAGUACAUGCCAGUAUGUCUAGAUCAAUUUCUGUCUUAUAUAAACUUAGGUCUCUGGUACCGAACUGUCUAAAGCUCCAGGUAUAUUAUUUAGUUCAAUCUUAUCUGAAUUACUGUCUCUUAACAUGGGGUACGACUUCAGGAACGAACCUUGAAAGGUUAAAAAUUAUACAAAAGAGAGCUGUUCGCUGCAUAGAAAAUGUGCAACCAAGUGAACGCACUGCGCCAUAUUUGUCAAGCUUAAAUUUCUUACACUUAACCAACUUUUUAAUCUGAAGCUCGCCUUGUAUAUUCGCAAGGAAAUUGGAAAUGAAUUGAGUAGGUAUAUGGCUCAGUGCUACCCUACUAAUGUUCCCUAUGAUCUGCGACACGAGCGAUUUAGAAUACCAUUAAUCAGAACCAUUUACGGUAAUCAAACAUUGGUGUAGCUUAUACCUAACCUUCUCCGCAACAAUAGUUAUAUCCACGAACAUAUUGAAAAAAUGUACUUCUAUCCACAGUUUAAAGAAAAAUGUUACAAUUUACUUACUGUCUGGUGCUUUGUCCUAAAUAAGAUCUUGAGUAAAAAAAAAUCCUUUUUAUUGUUCUAUAACCUCUGUGUUCAGCUGCAUUUUCUAGCAGUUAUACAUUGCUAGGGAUUGUUAUGUUACAUAUUGAAUAACGCUUGCACAAACUUUGUACUUUUUAAUAUGUUGCCAUUUAUGUACGCAUUUGUGCUUGUUAUGGGUUAUUGGUGUUGCAUUAUUGUGUGAUUCCGUUACUCAGUUUAAGAUGCCUAAUUGCGAUGUUACUUCUGUUCAUGAAAAUCUUUUUGUGGUGCUUUAAUGUACAAAGCCAUUGUUCUUUUUUUAUUCGCAUUGCUUCUGAGCAAAUGUAUGAGUGGAGGGACCUUAGUAAGGCAGAGCUCAUCUGCCUUUUAGUCCUUUCAACCCAGGCAAUGUAUGUCUCAAUAAAAAACUGAAACUGAAA
Molecule: long non-coding RNA, 4877 nt
Organism: Dermacentor albipictus
Lineage: Eukaryota; Metazoa; Arthropoda; Arachnida; Ixodida; Ixodidae
Source: RefSeq, a predicted model, not a curated record